Long non-coding RNA from Sarcophilus harrisii (Tasmanian devil), 3968 nucleotides. Lineage: Eukaryota; Metazoa; Chordata; Mammalia; Dasyuromorphia; Dasyuridae. The record is from Ensembl.
CUCAGCCACCUCACAAACAACUUAUGGGGAGCAUGGAUUCCCCUACCAUCCCAGCAGGUAGCCACCAAGUCUUUGCCUGAACCACCCUAAGAGGAAUUCAGAACCUGGGGAGGCAGGCCUUGCCACUUUUGAACAGCUCUCUGAUGGUUAGAUACUGCUUUGCCCCCAAGGAUGGAAAAGUAAAGAAACGCUGCUGGGGGGCAGACUAAAGAGACAGGUCAGUCAAGUGUUAAAGGCCAAGCCACUUCUUCCUAUUUUUCUGUUCCCCUUUUGCCCAUUCUCUCCUUCAUGCCUUUUCCUCUGCGGGGUUCUUUAUCCCUCUUCCUCUCCCUCCUCCUAACUCCUCCGCGGCUCCCCAUUGCCCUCCUCCUCCUCACUCUCCCUCCCACACUUCCAGCAACGCCCGGCAAGGCGUAGAGAAGAAAUCCUCUCAUCUCCUGCCCCCUGAUCCAAGGAGAUCCUGAGUGGCCGCUGCUGGCAUCGGGGCCCCGCUCCUCUCUACCCAGGGCCCCGCCCCUCUCCGCCUAAGCCCCCGCCCCCCCUGCCCAGGGCCCCUCCUCUCCCCCCCGGGUCCCCGUCCCUCCCCUCGCUUCUCCUGCGCACCCAGCCUGAUCCGGCGCCCAGCUCUGGCUCGGGCUCGCCGCGCUGGCGUUGGCUCGGGCUGUAAUCCCGCUCCGCUCUCGGCCGCUGCACAGACAGAGCAAACGGCCCAAGGAGACUCGGCCGAGCCGGGAAACUUUUCCCGGAGCCCUAUCCGGCCCGGGGCCGCUCGGGGUCUGAGAUCCAGAAGCCUGAGAAGGGGCUGAAGUCUAGGGGGAGAAAUUGAUAUCUAGAGGAGAGAGAACUGUGAGAAUAUCUGCUUUAGAUUGCCUUUGGAAUCCUGGUAAGUCUCUUCAAGAGCCCUGCACCUUCAAACAUAUCUGUAAAUGGGAAGAAUAUUAAUAACUGGUCCAUCCACCUGUUGAAUGUCAUUUGAGAGUGGCAAUGAAAGCACUUUAAAGAGUACAAUGAUAUAGGAAGGGAGCAGCAGAAUGGUGGUAUCGUGUUGUUGUGUUGUUGAGAAGGGCUAUCUAUCCUUUCCCUUACAUCCUCUCCCACCUCCUACUUUACCUUCCCAGAUCCUUCUCCCACUCUGACCUUCUGUAGAAAUGGUUUUCCAUUCAAAUAAGUCAGGGAAGACAAUGGAAAGGAGGGAAAUUAUCAAGAAAAUGAUAGGUAUUUUAUCAUACUACUCUCAGAUUAUCAGUUAAUCAACAGGCAUUUAAAGGCUUGCUUCUAUAUCAGGCACUGUGCCCAGCUCUAAUAAUAUAAAGAAAGACAAAAGCAAACAAAAACAAAGUAGAUAAAAAGAAAACACCAGUGCCUUAUUUCAAGGAGAAUAUAUUCUAAUAAGAGAGACGAUUUUAAAUAACUAGGGAUAUACAAGAUAAAUACAGAGUAUAUGAAGAUAAUUGGAAAGGAGAAAACAUCAUCUGGGGAAGGAAGGAGCAAGGGGAAGAGCACAGUCCAGAAAAGGAUUCAUUAAGGUAAUGUUCGUGCUGAGGCUUAAAGAGAACUAAAGAAACUAAGGAAGAGAUAAGGGGGCAGAGCAUUCUAGAAAUGGAGAAUAGCCUCUACUUCCCCCUGCAUCUAGACUGCUGAUUUAUUAUCUAAGAAGAUCCUGCUCCAUAUUUUAUCCUACCAACACUCUGGGAAGUCAUAAAAAUGAAUUAAUAGUUCUUUUUGCUCUCCCCAGCUAAAGAACAAUCUCUUUGUUAUAUAUAGAAAUAUAUAUAUAUAUAUAUAUAUAUAUAUAUAUAUACACAUAUGUGUCUCUGUGUAUGUAUAGUAGUAGUUUUUAAAAAGUUUUUUAUCACACAUAUAUAUUUUCCUCUUGUCUUUCUCAGCUAAGUUUAUGCAGAGAAACAUAGAUCUGUAAAAUUAAUCACAUUUGUCUUUGAAAACUGGUUUUAAGGCAAAAAGAAAAUAAAAUAAACAAAUGUGUAAGAAACCUAUUUGAAGAGAUAAUCACACUUCCUGGAAAAAAAUGAAGCAGAGAGAAAAAUGACGUGAGUGAAUUAAAUCAUCUACCUUGAUAUUAGCACAUGGCUCAGUCACAGUACCUGCCCCUCCCCCUCUCUCUUUCUGUCUCUGUCUUUCACCCUCACUCUCUCUUUUGCUCUCUUUCCUCCCCUCUUUUUUCCUCUGUCUUUUCUCUACCCCCAUUUUCCUAACAUAAUACCAGUCUUCACUGUAUUGCCCACCAAUGUUCAUGGCUCCUCUGAUAUCCAAGCCAUAGCCAAUUUCAUUCUCAAUCUUCAGUGAAACUUGCCCGGGCCAUGUAUAUACACCAGUUUAUGGCUUCUGACUUUUCUUUUCUUUGAGAUAGGAGGAAUAACUUAUUAAUCAUAGUCUAGCCUUGUCAGUAUAGGUCAAGGCUAAUUUCCUAAGAAUCAAGAAGGGGAACAAAUCAAUAAGCAUUGGCCUAUAAAAUCCCUUGACAUUUCUCCCCAGAGUCAUAAAUUUUCAGCCUCUUGCAAAAUCAGCCAAAUUAUACUUGAGAUCUCUAAUUCUAUAUCAUGCCAUCAACAUACCUAUCACCACUUAAUAGAACAAGGAUGAUUAACCCAGCAUUUCAUAUAAUCAUCUCAGGAUCCCAUUCUCAACAAAUACAUAUCAUCUGUAUAGACAUAUCACAUAGACAUAUAGACAUAUGAAAAGACAUAUCGCAGUGACAGGCUGCUUCUGUGACUACAGAUCAAAUACAGGAAAUAUUGUAGGUACAUAUCAGAGUAGUAUCUGCAUAUCUGGAGAACACAAGAAAAUAUGGACAACAACCAAGGAAAGACACCACAUCAAUAGGACUAUAGAACAAUAAAAUGUCCAUAAUCAGAAAUAUACAAGCAAAAAAAUCUUAUUUAAUUACAUAGCUGAAAUUUAAUUGUAUCAAUGGCAGAACCACAGCAGCAAAUAAAAAAGAAACAAAAAAAUACUCAAAAUAAGUUCUAAUUGGCUUGUUCAUCAAUAAUAUGUAAGUAUAUGCAGGACACAUAUUAACAAGGAUAAAUAUUAUUGGUUACAUUGUAAUUACUUCUACAGUUUUCCCUGUAAUACCAUAAGUUAGUCUGGUCAGUGAUCACAUAGACCUAUCUUAACUGUGAUCUGCUGGCUAGCCUGUUCCUAUAGCUAAGUUGCUUGAGGACCCAAGCUUACCAUAGUCUUCAAAUCUGACUUUUUAAUGUGAACUUGAGGCAUAGGGAACAGGGAAGGGCCAGAACUGACAGUGUUACUAUGUUCUGUGGGGUAUGUCUGUAUCUGAGGAAUCUCAGUAGCUGAAAUUCUAGCCAAGAAAGUUAUUGCCUUUGGAUUCAAUCCUUCCUUCUAUCAGAAUUGGAUGCUCAUUUGAAAUAUCUGUUUCUAAGCUAUAGUUUAGUUCUGACAAUUUUCACACAAUUGGUUGGCAAUUUCUUUUAAUAAGUCUACUAAAUUAAGUGCUCAACAAUCUUUAUCUGCUCAUCAAGAAAUCCAACUAGGUUUCCUAUAAGCAGUAAAUUGUUGUCAUAAAUUGUCUUUACAGAGUCCUUGAUAGUCUGUGGGAUUAUUCUGUAAAUGGAAAAUUGUCCAGUCUUUCCAUGACUAUCCACUGAUUGGUUAACUUGGAAAGCCAAGACCUCUCAAUAAAACUCUCCUUAAACAUCUUGACAAUAAAUUCAGGCAUCAUAUCCAUGUUUAUUUCUAUCAGAACUCUUCUGGGUUAAAGUUAUAGUUUACUUAAGGGACCUUUUAAUUUUUUUGCAACAUCCUUAUAAUGUCUUUAUUUUUAUUCUUUGUUCAUUUCUAAAAUUAAGAGAUUCCACUUCCUUAUGAGGGCUCUAAGUUUAAAAAAGUCACUAAACUUUUCAAGCAACUUAUAUACCAAAUGAUCAAUAGAUUGAUGAGUAAUUGACAAAACCAAAUGCAGCAGUAUAUAAAUAUGAUAUAAUCAAACA